RNAcentral lists this ribosomal RNA (253 nucleotides) under uncultured bacterium. Its description in RNAcentral is "partial 16S ribosomal RNA". It matches the Rfam family "Bacterial small subunit ribosomal RNA", at positions 524 to 776 of the family's 1533-position model. The record is from RNAcentral.
GACAGAGGGUGCGAACGUUGUUCGGAAUUACUGGGCGUAAAGGGCUCGUAGGUGGCCAACUAAGUCAGACGUGAAAUCCCUCGGCUUAACCGGGGAACUGCGUCUGAUACUGGUUGGCUUGAGUUUGGGAGAGGGAUGCGGAAUUCCAGGUGUAGCGGUGAAAUGCGCAGAUAUCAGGAGGAACACCGGUGGCGAAGGCGGAUCUCUGGGCCAUUACUGACGCUGAGGAGCGAAAGCGUGGGGAGCGAACAGG